Molecule: ribosomal RNA, 492 nt
Filed under: Triticum aestivum (bread wheat)
Lineage: Eukaryota; Viridiplantae; Streptophyta; Magnoliopsida; Poales; Poaceae
Description: partial small subunit ribosomal RNA
Source: RNAcentral
AUGGAAGUAGUUCUAUGCCUAGACAUUGCCCAAGAAACUAGAGCACUCUCGGAUGCGGAAUUCUAUCUUCGGAAACUGCUCAAGCUCAAGAUCCUAAGGCUUGUGGCCAUUGACCGCGCUAGAGAGUGCCAGGCUUCAAGGAUUACCUGGCUACAAGCUGGAGACGCGCCCUCGGCUUUCUUCCAAGCGAAGAUCAAUGCUAGAAGAAGGAAAGCAUUCAUCCACACUCUCCUAGGGCCAGACGAGGUCGUCACCUUGCAGGAGGACAAGGAAGCAAUGAUCCAUGAUCAUUUUUCCUCCCUACUGGGCACGGCAGCGCACCGCGAUAGCACCAUCAAUUGACAGGCUCUUGAUAUGGCUAGGCUUCAGGGUGGGGGCCUCGACAACCCUUUCACAGAGGAGGAAGUGUGGCGUGCAAUCAAGGCCUCGCCGGCUGACCGGGCGCCAGGCCCUGAUGGCUUCUCCGGCACUUUCUUCAGGUUUUGCUGGUAA